CAACAGCGUACAUAGAUGUAGACAGGUUUGACUGUGGCAUUAGUAAUUCCACAUUUUUCAUUUUUAAACAAGCUUAAAAUAUCUGAGACUCGGCUGUGUAAUUUAGUAUGGGUAUGAAGCAAGAGUGUGUUACAAGAGAGUAGCAUGUGUUAAACAGGCUAGGUACACGAUAUUAGAUAGUAACUUGCUUGGCUGUCCUUUAGUUUAGGCAAGAGUACAACACAGUUAGUAUACUGUCUGGUAUAGUAUAAUAGCAUGGUGUAUAUACAUAAAGUGUGUGUUAUGAAAAAAGCUUUUGAGGUGAGCCUUCGCAAUGUUACUAGUGAGGUGAACCCCUGGAUUACCCCAACAUAGUGUGGAGUGCGUAGAUAGAGGCAUGCAAACAGAAAAUCAACGAUAACAUAACAUAAAAGUAACGGCAUCAUCAGCACAGGUAUAGAAGGGCAGCAUAAGUAAACGUGUCCUGGAGAAUGUGGGUGAUGUGCACAGGGUAAUAUGGCGAUAUCAGCCAAUGCCUCGGCUGGGCACUUUGGGAGAGUCUCUGGGUGUUGCUGUAUGAGGUAGGUAUGCCAGGGUGUUAUCUCUCUCACUCCGGGCCUUAUAGGUGACCUGCGUCUGCGUUCCAUGGAACCGGGUUAUUUGAUAUAGCAAGUCCCUCCCCGCUGGGAGACUGUGGGGCUUUGAGUGGUCCACUUCUGGGUGCAGGUGCCGUGGCUCUGCUGUUGUGGAACGUGCUUUGCGGCUGUGAAUCUAGAGUUAAUUCUGUAGCUCAGUGGCCGCUGUUCUCAGUGUAGGGGCUUAGUGUUCCCGCCAUUCUUGGCCUUGCGCCCCGCCUUCUCCUCACACGAUUUGGUGGCGCUGUGCUCUUACGGGGCCCGUUUCGAAUUGCUGGUCGAUGUUGAUGUAGUCUUAGGUACUUUGUCUUGGUCGCGCCCCUGACCCCGAAAGCUGAUUUUGGCCUGCUGCUGAUGUUAGUGAGGCUCCAGGAGCCUAGUCUUGAGAUGGCACCUCAUGCGUGUGGAGCCUGUGGGAGUUUCUGCAUCCCGCCGUG
Non-coding RNA from Pelobates cultripes (western spadefoot toad), 1051 nucleotides. The record is from the annotation of a GenBank genome assembly. NCBI's taxonomy places the organism in Eukaryota, Metazoa, Chordata, Amphibia, Anura, Pelobatidae.